AACGAACGCUGGCGGCAUGCCUAACACAUGCAAGUCGAGCGAGACCUUCGGGUCUAGUGGCGCACGGGUGCGUAACGCGUGGGAACCUGCCCUUAGGUUCGGAAUAACUCCCCGAAAGGGGUGCUAAUACCGGAUAAUGUCUUCGGACCAAAGAUUUAUCGCCUUUGGAUGGGCACGCGUUGGAUUAGCUAGUUGGUAGGGUAAAAGCCUACCAAGGCGACGAUCCAUAGCUGGUCUGAGAGGAUGAUAAGCCACACUGGGACUGGGACACGGCCCAGACUCCUACGGGAGGCAGGAGUGGCGAAUAUUGGACAAUCGGCGAAAGCCUGAUCCAGCAAUGCCGCGUGAGUGAUGAAGUCCUGAGGGAUGUAAAGCUCUUUUACCCGGGAUGAUAAUGACAGUACCGAGAGAAUAAGCUCCGGCUAACUCCGUG
This 433-nucleotide ribosomal RNA is filed under the name uncultured bacterium. RNAcentral's name for it is "partial 16S ribosomal RNA". It matches the Rfam family "Bacterial small subunit ribosomal RNA", at positions 29 to 507 of the family's 1533-position model. The record is from RNAcentral.